UACGUAGGGUGCAAGCGUUAAUCGGAAUUACUGGGCGUAAAGCGUGCGCAGGCGGCUAUGCAAGACAGAUGUGAAAUCCCCGGGCUUAACCUGGGAACUGCAUUUGUGACUGCAUGGCUAGAGUACGGUAGAGGGGGAUGGAAUUCCGCGUGUAGCAGUGAAAUGCGUAGAUAUGCGGAGGAACACCGAUGGCGAAGGCAAUCCCCUGGACCUGUACUGACGCUCAUGCACGAAAGCGUGGGGAGCGAACAGG
This 253-nucleotide ribosomal RNA is filed under the name uncultured bacterium. Its description in RNAcentral is "partial 16S ribosomal RNA". It matches the Rfam family "Bacterial small subunit ribosomal RNA", at positions 524 to 776 of the family's 1533-position model. The record is from RNAcentral.